Molecule: transfer RNA, 82 nt
Filed under: Candidatus Sungbacteria bacterium RIFCSPHIGHO2_02_FULL_47_11
Lineage: Bacteria; Candidatus Sungiibacteriota
Description: tRNA-Leu
Rfam family: tRNA
About the family: Transfer RNA (tRNA) molecules are approximately 80 nucleotides in length. Their secondary structure includes four short double-helical elements and three loops (D, anti-codon, and T loops).
Source: RNAcentral
GCUCGGGUGGCGGAAAUGGAAUACGCGCAGGGCUUAGAACUCUGUCCCGCAAGGGUUGUGGGUUCAAAUCCCACCCCGAGCA